GAUGAACGCUGGCGGCGUGCCUAAUACAUGCAAGUCGAGCGAACAGACGAGGAGCUUGCUCCUUUGACGUUAGCGGCGGACGGGUGAGUAACACGUGGGUAACCUACCUAUAAGACUGGGAUAACUUCGGGAAACCGGAGCUAAUACCAGAUAAUAUUUCGAACCGCAUGGUUCGAUAGUGAAAGAUGGCUUUGCUAUCACUUAUAGAUGGACCUGCGCCGUAUUAGCUAGUUGGUAAGGUGACGGCUUACCAAGGCAACGAUACGUAGCCGACCUGAGAGGGUGAUCGGCCACACUGGAACUGAGACACGGUCCAGACUCCUACGGGAGGCAGCAGUAGGGAAUCUUCCGCAAUGGGCGAAAGCCUGACGGAGCAACGCCGCGUGAGUGAUGAAGGUCUUCGGAUCGUAAAACUCUGUUAUUAGGGAAGAACAAACGUGUAAGUAACUGUGCACGUCUUGACGGUACCUAAUCAGAAAGCCACGGCUAACUACGUG
This 497-nucleotide ribosomal RNA is filed under the name uncultured bacterium. RNAcentral's name for it is "partial 16S ribosomal RNA". It matches the Rfam family "Bacterial small subunit ribosomal RNA", at positions 28 to 507 of the family's 1533-position model. The record is from RNAcentral.